GAGUGAGGCUGGAAGUUUGGGGCUUGCCACAUGGUUUCCCAGAGCACUGUUUCACAUCUGAGUGAAGUACCUGGUAAAUUAACACGGAGCUAUCCCUGACACUGAACAUAAAUGGAAUUCAAUCAGGUUCCAACUUUAAACAGGAGGACUGAGGAGACUUCUUAAAUGAGACAGCCGGAGCCUUUUUACAACAUGUUGUGUUGGUGACUGGAUAGUUCUGGGGACUAAUGAGGAGAUAUAAAAUCACAGUGAAGUUGGUGACCAUUUCUAAUCCAAAGCAAGUGAAGAAAGUGAAUGGUGCCCUGCCUUAGCUUCCUUUAUGUGCUUCCAGUUUUCUGAAAUCAGCCAUGUCUUCUGCAGAUAGGACUGUAACAGCUUGAUGGAUACCUCAGGAUCAGUUUAUACACGAGAAGUUUUCUUCAACAGCUUUCCAGCCCUGAGCAGCACUGGACCAAGCCGUGGUGUUGGUUCUCCAGAGCAGCAGCAGCAGCAGCCCUAGCAGCCAUCCCUUCUCUGAGCGUGGAAGUCUGUGUUUCCUGAAUCAACACACUCAGCACUUGGCUUUUUCUUCCCGCUAUUACUCAGAUCACAGCCCUGAUCACAUCGUGCACUACACACAUCGCUUAUGCUGCUG
This 634-nucleotide long non-coding RNA is filed under the name Gallus gallus (chicken). Lineage: Eukaryota; Metazoa; Chordata; Aves; Galliformes; Phasianidae. The record is from RNAcentral.